UAUCUCUGUAGAGUCUGCAUAUCAAUAAGCGGAGGAAAAGAAACUAACUAGGAUUCCCUCAGUAACGGCGAGUGAAGCGGGAAGAGCUCAAAUUUGAAAUCUUCAAGGUUCUACCUUGACGAAUUGUAGUUUAAAGAAGUGUUUUCUGUUGGAGUUUUGGUAAAAGUUCUUUGGAAUAGGACAUCAUAGAGGGUGAGAAUCCCGUAUUUGACCAUUACUUUCCAGCGUUGUGAUACACUUUCAAAGAGUCGGAUUGUUUGGGAACGCAGUCCAAAAUGGGUGGUAAAUUUCAUCUAAAGCUAAAUAUUGGCGAGAGACCGAUAGCGAACAAGUACCGUGAGGGAAAGAUGAAAAGAACUUUUGAAAAGAGAGUUAAACAGUACGUGAAAUUGUCAAAAGGGAAGCGUUUGACACCAGUGUUGUUUUCUCGAAAAUCAAUUAAAAAAGGCAGGAUUUUGUGUUGUAUUGACUUUAUCAGCUUUCUGCACUCUUUUCUUGUCUUUUUUUAAUGCACUUUUCGUUUAACAAGUCAACAUCAAUUUCUUUUGUUGUAAAGGGUCAUUGGAAGGUGGCUUUCUUUUCGGAGAAAGUGUUUAUAGCCUUUGGCCUCUGCAAUCGGAGAGAUUGAGGUCUGCAGCGUAGAUCCUUCGGGGUUAGAUACAUUUGUGCUAAGUUAUAGCCUUUCAUAGACAACUUGUUGACUAUGAUCAGUCAUGUAGCUUACUCGCUUAUGCUAUUUUACCUACGCUUAGGAUGUUGACGAUCAGCUGAGCGCG
Molecule: ribosomal RNA, 776 nt
Filed under: uncultured Neocallimastigales
Lineage: Eukaryota; Fungi; Neocallimastigomycota; Neocallimastigomycetes; Neocallimastigales
Description: partial large subunit ribosomal RNA
Rfam family: Eukaryotic large subunit ribosomal RNA
Source: RNAcentral